UGAAAAAUGUCAUGGGAAUUGAUGAGGGAAAUGAGGAGGCAAUCAGUGAAUUUAUGGCUGAUAGUACAGCUAAACUUACCUCUGCUCUUAGGUAAAGUCAUUUCUCUCUAAUUUCAACAAGAAGCAAGUUGUAUCUAUAACUGUUUCUUUUUGCAAGUGUAAAUCUUCCCUCUUCGAUGUUAAAAGGAACUCACAUGAGAAGGUUUACCCCACUGUAUCAAUUCUUCAAAGAAUUAAGAUGACACUACUGCAUAAUUAUGUUCUUGUCAUAUUUUACAGUUCACUUCCAGAAUUGCUUGAGAAAUAGAGAAUUAUAGACAUGCACACAACUAUUGCCACAGCGCUUUUGGAACACAUCAAGGAGAGAGCCAGUUCCAAAGGGGCAAAUAACAAAGUGAUCAUUUGCAUCACUUGAUUUCACUUUCUCACUUUCUCACUUAUUAAAUUGUUUGAAAAUAUUGAAUUUUUCCUCAACAAGUUAUACUUGUGAUUUUUUUCCUUUUUUUUUUUUUUCA
Stylophora pistillata is the source of this 515-nucleotide long non-coding RNA. NCBI's taxonomy places the organism in Eukaryota, Metazoa, Cnidaria, Anthozoa, Scleractinia, Pocilloporidae. The record is from RefSeq and is a predicted model, not a curated record.